Molecule: long non-coding RNA, 1933 nt
Organism: Cyprinus carpio (common carp)
Lineage: Eukaryota; Metazoa; Chordata; Actinopteri; Cypriniformes; Cyprinidae
Source: Ensembl
UGAAGAGUUUCUCAAUUUAAUGUAUGAUCUCUGCCUCAACUGUUACUUUGAUCCACAAUCUGGGAAAUAUUAUGAACUGCUCUGAUCCCGAGAUGAGUUACAUCUACAACCAUGUUAUUCAAUACUGCCAUAUACAUGUAUGUUUUAGUUGAAGCAUGUUGUCCUUCAUAACAUUUAAUAAUUUUAAUGGAGAUUUGGGAUUUAAAGUGUUUUUUUUUUUUUUCUAACUGUUUCUGUUUUUUAGUAAUAAAUUUACAUUCAAUCUUGUUUGAGCUCAUAAUAGAAGUAAAUUUUUCAGUAAGUAAGAAAUAAACUCAUAUUGUUGAAUCCAUUUCAGUGUUUAUUAGUCCUCCUAACUUUUUUUAUUCAAACUUAUAAAAUAGUUCCUAGACAAUUAUGUAAAACGUACAAAAAUAAUAGAAUACCUGCUAUAUAAUUAAAUUCGCAGGUUUUAAAUUAAUCUAUUUUUUUUAAAGUGAUCCUUCAGUGUACUGUUGACGGAAGUCUUCGCGUUGCCUCACGAUCGGCCAAUCAUACACCAGUUACUCCUUUACGUCAUUUGACAGGUAGAAUCACUAGGAAGUAAACAUCUAUAAUGGCGAUAAAGUCGUUCAAGUUAAGCCACUCCUCAAAUAUGUUACUAAAUGUGAUUUUAUUUAGUAUUUUUAAUGCGUUCGCCUUUGCCUUUCCGUCAUACCGCGACUCCAGACAGGCAGAAAGUUUGGAGAAACCCACCUCAGCAAUAAAUGUUCAACAGGGUGCAAGACUCCAUUUCGCAGUAAUCGCGUCUGUUGUGAUCGUUAUUGUAGCUGCAGCAGCAGCUGCUGUCUUCAUUAUCCGGAAAUACUGCUGUCCGCAGAGUAAUAUAACAUAUAGAUACUCAGAGCUGCGACAAAUGGAAGCACAAAAUGCAGCCAGAGAAGAGGACAAUGAUUCAGAUGAGGUUAGUAUGCAUGGCACUUUAAAAUUACUAAUAAUAGCCUUAUAUAUACUUAAUUACUUUUUAUUCUUACUCUGGAUGUUCUUUCCACAGGACCUUUUGGAGUGAAUCAUGUAGCAUAAUUUAUCCUUGACGCUUCUCUUCCUUUUUAAUGCUGUGACAUUAUAUGGCCAAAAGCAUCACACGGGUCAUUUAAAAACCACCAGGAGUUUCUGAAAUAUUUAUAUCUGUUCCACCAUUUUUCAGAAUGGAUAUAUCCACCAACCAGUUAAAAUUAGCUUUUUAAAUUUGGCAAGAUUGGAAGGAUGAAAGAUGCUCAUUAGAGAUAAAAGUUACUAUGAUUUACUUGCAGGCAAAUAACUUAUGAAAAGAGCUGUUAUGGUUACUGUACCUGAUGCUUAAAACUUGGUCAAUAUUGGAACUACUUUUUAAAUGCACUCCUUGAAGAACUUGUUUAGUAUUUUCUUGAAUUUCUCAAUGCAAGGCAUGCUGUACCAAAGUCUGUUGAAAUGAUUGUAUUUAUUGUGCCUGACUUUUUCUUGAUUUUAAAACCGCUUUAUGAUCUCAGGGUUGUUCCCACUUGAUACUGUGAACAGUGCCACCGAUACCAGAAGCACAUCUGAAUAAGCAUUUUACUGUAAACCAGUCUUAUCAAUUGCAACGAUGCUGUAGUUUGCACUAGUUUGCAAUAAUCUGCACUCAUAUGCUGGUAAAAGUGAAAAAAAUGUACUAAUGGCAGUGUUUGAUAUCACCUCUAUUUUAAUAUGACAAUGUUGAUGGGGAAUUAUUAUGUGCAGUCCAGAGCUCCAUAAUGGUGUUUCUAUGAGCUCAGUUCAUGCUGGGAAGUAUUUUUGAUGAUGGAAUUAUGUAUCUUUAGAUUUUCAUAUUCUCACCUUCUUAUCUGAGACUGAACUAUACUGACUACUUAAAAAAAAACAGUUUGUGUAACUGAGAAGGAAUAAAAUGAUAUACUUAAUAUUGCUUGUGUGGUUG